AACUGAAGAGUUUGAUCAUGGCUCAGAUUGAACGCUGGCGGCAGGCUUAACACAUGCAAGUCGAGCGGGGGAAGGUAGCUUGCUACUGGACCUAGCGGCGGACGGGUGAGUAAUGCUUAGGAAUCUGCCUAUUAGUGGGGGACAACAUCUCGAAAGGGAUGCUAAUACCGCAUACGUCCUACGGGAGAAAGCAGGGGAUCUUCGGACCUUGCGCUAAUAGAUGAGCCUAAGUCGGAUUAGCUAGUUGGUGGGGUAAAGGCCUA
This 263-nucleotide ribosomal RNA is filed under the name Acinetobacter baumannii. RNAcentral describes it as "partial 16S ribosomal RNA". It matches the Rfam family "Bacterial small subunit ribosomal RNA", at positions 1 to 267 of the family's 1533-position model. The record is from RNAcentral. Lineage: Bacteria; Pseudomonadati; Pseudomonadota; Gammaproteobacteria; Moraxellales; Moraxellaceae.